GCGAACGGGAUUAGAUACCCUGGUAGUCCACGCCGUAAACGAUGUCGACUUGGAGGUUGUGCCCUUGAGGCGUGGCUUCCGGAGCUAACGCGUUAAGUCGACCGCCUGGGGAGUACGGCCGCAAGGUUAAAACUCAAAUGAAUUGACGGGGGCCCGCACAAGCGGUGGAGCAUGUGGUUUAAUUCGAUGCAACGCGAAGAACCUUACCUGGCCUUGACAUCCACGGAAUUCGGCAGAGAUGCCUUAGUGCCUUCGGGAACCGUGAGACAGGUGCUGCAUGGCUGUCGUCAGCUCGUGUUGUGAAAUGUUGGGUUAAGUCCCGCAACGAGCGCAACCCUUAUCCUUUGUUGCCAGCGAGUAAUGUCGGGAACUCAAAGGAGACUGCCGGUGACAAACCGGAGGAAGGUGGGGAUGACGUCAAGUCAUCAUGGCCCUUACGGCCAGGGCUACACACGUGCUACAAUGGCGCAUACAAAGAGAAGCGAACUCGCGAGAGCAAGCGGACCUCACAAAGUGCGUCGUAGUCCGGAUCGGAGUCUGCAACUCGACUCCGUGAAGUCGGAAUCGCUAGUAAUCGUAGAUCAGAAUGCUACGGUGAAUACGUUCCCGGGCCUUGUACACACCGCCCGUCACACCAUGGGAGUGGGUUGCAAAAGAAGUAGGUAGCUUAACCUUCGGGAGGGCGCUUACCACUUUGUGA
RNAcentral lists this ribosomal RNA (700 nucleotides) under uncultured Rahnella sp. RNAcentral's name for it is "bacterial SSU rRNA". It matches the Rfam family "Bacterial small subunit ribosomal RNA", at positions 768 to 1467 of the family's 1533-position model. The record is from RNAcentral. Lineage: Bacteria; Pseudomonadati; Pseudomonadota; Gammaproteobacteria; Enterobacterales; Yersiniaceae.